Homalodisca vitripennis (glassy-winged sharpshooter) is the source of this 1092-nucleotide long non-coding RNA. RefSeq lists it as uncharacterized. Lineage: Eukaryota; Metazoa; Arthropoda; Insecta; Hemiptera; Cicadellidae. The record is from RefSeq and is a predicted model, not a curated record. The transcript is spliced from 2 exons.
AUGUCGUGUUGGUGACGUUUCCAUAAUUCAUGUUUUAAAAUUUUAUACAAUAUUAUUAGAGCAUUGUACAGACGGACAUUUUGGAUGGCAUAUUUAUUACUUGGGCUGGUCGCCCUAGUUAUCUUAUCUCCAUUUGCAAUACGUGCUCCAACCUUUAUUAUCAAGUCUGUCUCCCUAUUGUCUGAAGUUUGUUCUGUCACUGCCUGUUUGAUUUGGUGAAAGUUACUGCGGAAAAUGAUCAUUGGGUUGCUCACCACCUACACAGCUGGAUUAUUUCUGGACUGACAUACUCACUUAUUUGUGCGGAUUUUUGGAGAACGGCUUUUUGGGAGUCGAAUGCUGCUUGCCUUCUUGCGUUGACUUGGUACAGAGUGAACAUACAGCAACACACCACUGCACCUACCAAGGGUUCAAGAGGGCAUGACACCUGGGACUAUGUCUAGCUACUUUCCCACUGCUGACAUACAUUGCCGUUCCGAUAAGUUAUAAGUAUAGAUUUCCUAUCGGAAUAUUGUUUACUGCUUGCAGUAUAGAACAUUUUCUUGUGAGAAAGAUAUUAAAUAGAAUUGACCUAAACCAUUAUCUUUGGGGGAGUGAAUUUACCGUGAUAGACAAUUAUCACGUCAAUUAUCACAGAAUUAAUUAAUGAACUGAAUUGUACUUGUGGAGUUUAUUGGACUCAUGGACUUUAAAAAGUUUCUUUUUUAUAUGCCUAUAUGUAUUUACGUGGUAUUAUUUUAAAUUGUCUUUUAUAGUGCUAAUUAUCUAUCUAUCGCACUAGAACUGAUAUUUUAAGGUCAACCAUAGUUAAAACUAAAGGUAAUCUAAAUAUUCAUUCAUUGAACAUUUAAUUCACCAUUGUAAAGGUGGUUAAUAAAUCCCCCUCUCUAAUAAAUAUUAAAAAUUAAAAAAAAACAUAACACAAUUUAAUUAAAUAAAUGCACUCUACUCCUCCAAUUUAACAAAGAACAUUCCUGUAGUACAUUGGUGCAGAAAUACUGAUAGCAAAUUACUUUAAAUAUAACAAACUAUAACUACUCAUACAUUUUGAUAAGACUCGUUGUUCUUAGUAACUGUUUAUCUAGUUAUCAU